AGAUCUUGCAGUGGAACUUAGGAAACAGACUGAAUAAGCAUUGGUGUAAAUAGUUAAAGGUUUUUCUAAAUCAGUAGACAUCUACUGAUUCAUACCAGAUGUACUGGCCGAGAAUUUCAAUGCAAGUCAACAUCAAUGAGGCACAAGAGACUUUGCUGUUUUUCCAACCCUCACGUCGACCUAUAGGUAUAGGUCCUUCAGGCAUUCAAACCGAUGCAGUUGAUGAAGAAACAGCAAAUAUCAUCAAUCAUGCUGUUACAAAGUCAAAUACAGUGAAGCAGGAGCCUUCCCAACAUCUAAUGGCCACUGCAUCAAAAGCUACAAUAAACAUAUUUACGGACAUGCAAUUUAUCAUUUACAGUAGCUAUGGUACCUAUG
This 378-nucleotide long non-coding RNA is filed under the name Anas platyrhynchos platyrhynchos (common mallard). RNAcentral's name for it is "lncRNA (ENSAPLG00000023835.1)". The record is from RNAcentral. Lineage: Eukaryota; Metazoa; Chordata; Aves; Anseriformes; Anatidae.